GUGGCCGAAGGCGUGGUCCGCAGCAGGGCUCGCCUGCUUGCCCUCCCUCCUUUUGGCCUCCGCUCUCUUUCCUCACGUCCCCUCCCUGUCCCCAGGAUGUGGAGAGGAGAGGAAAUGACAGGGAACACCUGCUCUGAGCAUCGUGGGUAUAUGUCUGGUAAGGUCGACAGACUAAAUGACGUUCGGGUCUGAAGAGGAAACCAAGCCCUCUCCUGCUUUCGAAGAAAGCAGACAGCUCCAUCCCUCACAACCCCAUCACCUAGAAAGACCAGCUCUCCCAGGGUUGCUCAGACCUAGAGCUCCUCCUCAAAAUCAACAUCUCCCAGAUCUGUAACUAGAGUUUCACCUCCGUGGUCCGUUUCAGCCUAACAGCUGGGAGCUGUUAACUGGGACCACAACUCCUGCUCUGGCCUCUGACCCUCUGACCGCUAUGUGACUCUAGGAGCUGUACAGAGACAUUGUAAACGGCUCCGCGCCUGUUCCUCAGCCAACGCCAUCUGCUAUUACAGGUGUUGGGCUUUUGAGCAGAAGUUCAAAUUCCUUGAAGACAAGGACCCUCCGUUCCCUAGUGUCCUCCUGGCUCACAGUGCAGAAUCAAUAAAACUCACUGAGAGGUGAACUCGUCAGGAAAUAAGGCUCCAUUUUGAACUCGCUAUUUAUAGAGAAGCCCUGGUCGUGCCAAGUUCUUUGCUAAGCUCUGGGGUUACAAACACGAAGGGAGACUGUGUCCCCAGACAGACAAAUUAUAAACAAAUUAGCUACAUCAAAACAGGGACGCCAAAAGAGCGAUAUAGGGAGGAAAGGCUUAAGGGACCGGCUUAACCCUAUAGGUGUGUUGAGGGGUCAUAUGGAAAAGUGGUUCUCAACCUUCUUAAUGCUACCACCCUUUAAUACAGCCCCUCAUCCUGUGGUGACCCUCAACAAUAAAUUUAUCUCAUCCUUACUUUAUAACUGCGAUUUUGUUGCUGUUACCAAUCGCAGUGUAAAUAUUUUCUGGUGAUCUUAGGCAAUCCCUGUGAAAGGGUCAUUUGAUCCCCAAAGGGUCUCACCCCACAGGUUAAGAACCAGACUACUGAACAUGACCUUUGAGCUAUGAGGACUGGGGAAACCCAGUGUACAGGAUAAAAGAGAUGAUGCAUCCUCCAUGGAAACGAAGGCAUCUGACCUUGUGGUGAGAGACUGUUAUUGGACAAAAUGGGCACUUUUCACUUUACCUCUAGAAGUUCAAAGUCCCAAAAGGAAGAUCCAAGGUGACAUGAUUGCUGAGGUCAGGAAGAAAGAAAGGCUGUUGUCUCUUCCAUUGACCUGCUGAGGACCGCUAGUGACUUAAACAGGACAAGAAGAUUCUCCCGAGACCCUCAGAAGAAUGCUCCUUCUCUGGGUCCCAGACUCUUGACACCCCUCCCACCACUGAGCCUCAACCUCGAGUCGUGUCUCCUGCUGAGAAUGCCCGUCAAAGGCUGGUGUGCUCCAGUGCUCUUUCCACAGCCCAGGAAAAGAAGCUUGGUGCUGAAAUUCUGGAACGUUUGUUUCUCCCGGAAAGUCCUCUUCUCUCUGAGGAAUCCCUCCCGCCCCAUCCUUACUUCACGGGCUACUUAAAAUGAGACCAACCAAGCUGCGUCCCCACCUCUUGUGAUCACCUUUGAAAACCCAGAGCCUACAUCCUGCCACACAUGCACACGAACGAGACUUCCGUCACCUACAAUACCCGCAUGGGUCCAGUUUGGGAAGAUGCAUGGAGAUCAGUCAAACGUUUGUUUGCAUCUCAGACAUUCGCCUCGCACAGGCAGAAUGUCAAUAGUGUCUGUGCUGCUAAUUGGCCUAUGAAAUGGCUCUGUUGCCAUGACUAAGCAAACAACAUCCAGGGACAGUUAUGAUUAAAUCGCUCGGAAGAGAGGAAGGAGAGGUGGAGAGGCCGCUGAAUCAUUAGCUAAGGCCGAAGACGUUUGGAAUCCUGAGUCUGGAACCUGGACUUAAAGGGAUUUCCGAAGGAAGCAAUUUCCUAAUUCAGGCAGGCCCUGCGAGCAGAGGAGACACAGCGGCAUGGAGAGGCUUAAUGAGAACAUCCUUUUCUGAUUAGAAAUGCUACAACAGAGGUCGGCGAGCAAAAAGGGACUUUAAUAUUAAAACGCUGCAGGGUU
This 2141-nucleotide small RNA is filed under the name Rattus norvegicus (Norway rat). RNAcentral's name for it is "uncharacterized LOC102549680". Lineage: Eukaryota; Metazoa; Chordata; Mammalia; Rodentia; Muridae. The record is from RNAcentral.